UCGAGGAUCUUCGGCAAUGGGCGAAAGCCUGACCGAGCGACGCCGCGUGGGCGAUGAAGGCCUUCGGGUUGUAAAGCCCUGUCGAGAGAGAGAAAAGGGCAACCUUGAUCGAUCUCUGGAGGAAGCACGGGCUAAGUUCGUGCCAGCAGCCGCGGUAAGACGAACCGUGCGAACGUUGUUCGGAAUCACUGGGCUUAAAGGGCGCGUAGGCGGGCCGACAAGUCCGGGGUGAAAGCCCCCAGCUCAACUGGGGAAGCGCCUUGGAUACUUUUGGCCUGGAGGGAGGUAGGGGCGUGCGGAACUUCCGGUGGAGCGGUGAAAUGCGUAGAUAUCGGAAGGAACACCGGUGGCGAAAGCGGCGCGCUGGACCUCUUCUGACGCUGAUGCGCGAAAGCCAGGGGAGCAAACGG
This 410-nucleotide ribosomal RNA is filed under the name uncultured bacterium. Its description in RNAcentral is "bacterial SSU rRNA". It matches the Rfam family "Bacterial small subunit ribosomal RNA", at positions 355 to 775 of the family's 1533-position model. The record is from RNAcentral.